RNAcentral lists this ribosomal RNA (425 nucleotides) under uncultured bacterium. Its description in RNAcentral is "partial 16S ribosomal RNA". It matches the Rfam family "Bacterial small subunit ribosomal RNA", at positions 354 to 796 of the family's 1533-position model. The record is from RNAcentral.
GUGAGGAAUAUUGGGCAAUGGGCGAAAGCCUGACCCAGCCACGCCGCGUGAGUGAUGAAGGCCUUAGGGUUGUAAAGCUCUUUCAGCUGGGAAGAUAAUGACGGUACCAGCAGAAGAAGCCCCGGCUAACUCCGUGCCAGCAGCCGCGGUAAUACAGAGGGUGCAAGCGUUGUUCGGAAUUACUGGGCGUAAAGCGUGCGUAGUCGGUAUUGAGAGUCGCGGGUGAAAUCCCAGGGCUUAACCCUGGAACUGCCUGCGAGACCUCAGUACUAGAGUGUGAGAGGGGAUAGUGGAAUACCCAGUGUAGCGGUGAAAUGCGUAGAGAUUGGGUGGAACACCGGUGGCGAAGGCGGCUAUCUGGCUCACAACUGACGAUCAGGCACGAAAGCGUGGGGAGCAAACAGGAUUAGAUACCCUUGUAGUCC